UACGAAGGGGGCUAGCGUUGUUCGGAUUUACUGGGCGUAAAGCGCACGUAGGCGGAUUGUUAAGUCAGGGGUGAAAUCCUGGAGCUCAACUCCAGAACUGCCUUUGAUACUGGCAAUCUUGAGUCCGGAAGAGGUGAGUGGAAUUCCGAGUGUAGAGGUGAAAUUCGUAGAUAUUCGGAGGAACACCAGUGGCGAAGGCGGCUCACUGGUCCAUUACUGACGCUGAGGUGCGAAAGCGUGGGGAGCAAACAGG
Molecule: ribosomal RNA, 253 nt
Filed under: uncultured bacterium
Lineage: Bacteria
Description: partial 16S ribosomal RNA
Rfam family: Bacterial small subunit ribosomal RNA
Source: RNAcentral